Long non-coding RNA from Mustela erminea (ermine), 255 nucleotides. RefSeq lists it as uncharacterized. The transcript has 3 exons. The record is from RefSeq and is a predicted model, not a curated record. Lineage: Eukaryota; Metazoa; Chordata; Mammalia; Carnivora; Mustelidae.
GCUCCAGGAAGGUUGUUCUCGGCAAUGUGAACCAAAUAGAAAGGCUGUUGGAAAACUGGUGCAUUGUCGUUGACAUCAAUUAUGUUCAAGUGUGCAGUGUGUCGUCCACCAUCCUUUGCUUCCACCCCAAUUGUGUAGCUCUCUCUCUCUUCAAAGUCCAGUUCUCCACCAGUGGCAGACUCUCUGACAGAUAUCUCGGCGGCAGAGAACCAGAGAGUGAGUGUCCAGUUACCGCGGUUCCGCCUUGGGGAGGCG